UUUGAGAGCUCGAAAAUAGGUGAUUUCAAGUGGGUUUUCGCAAGGAAUUCAUUGGAUUGUGGUGAUUUGGAGCGUGCUCGGAAGGGUAAAACUCAAAUUUGAGUUACUAGUUGAAGUGUUUUGAGGCAAGUGACUUCUAAACUUUGUUAAACUCUUAGACUACACAUGACUACUUUCCUAAUUGUGUUGGGGAGUAAUGGGGAUUGAGGAUGGGUUUUAUUUGUUGAUUGAAAUUGUUGUAAAUGAAAGAUGGGGAAUAAAACGAGCUAAAUGUGUUAUAUGUGACUUGAAUUUGUUGAAUAAGUCAUGUGAUAACUGAUAUUGAGGGGAUAGAAGAGCAUGAGUAGGCUAUGAUUGAUACAGACAUUGAUGUUGAGACAGAUGAUGUGUAAUACUAUGAUGUGGUCGUGAUAUGGUUGUGAUUGAGACAGAUGAUGUGUAAUAGUAUGAUGUGAUCGUGAUAUGAUUGUGAUUGAUGACAUGUGCAUAUUCAUUAUUCAUCCCAUGUGUGAACUAUCUGUUGCAUGAGUUCUGAGACACUGAUAUGAGGAUGGAUGGAUAUGAGACACAGUUGAGACUAGCUCCGGCUAGAGAUAUAUGAGAUGGACUAGCUCCGGCUAGAGAUAUAUGAGAUGGACUAGCUCCGGCUAGAGAUAUAUGAGAUGGACUAGCUCCGGCUAGAGAUAUAUGAGAUGGACUAGCUCCGGCUAGAGAUAUAUGAGAUGGACUAGCUCCGGCUAGAGAUAUAUGAGAUGGACUAGCUCCGGCUAGAGAUAUAUGAGAUGGACUAGCUCCGGCUAGAGAUAUAUGAGAUGGACUAGCUCCGGCUAGAGAUAUAUGAGAUGGACUAGCUCCGGCUAGAGAUAUAUGAGAUGGACUAGCUCCGGCUAGAGAUAUAUGAGAUGGACUAGCUCCGGCUAGAGAUAUAUGAGAUGGACUAGCUCCGGCUAGAGAUAUAUGAGAUGGACUAGCUCCGGCUAGAGAUAUAUGAGAUGGACUAGCUCCGGCUAGAGAUAUAUGAGAUGGACUAGCUCCGGCUAGAGAUAUAUGAGAUGGACUAGCUCCGGCUAGAGAUAUAUGAGAUGGACUAGCUCCGGCUAGAGAUAUAUGAGAUGGACUAGCUCCGGCUAGCGAUUUGGAUGCCGAUGGGAUCUGGUUCCGGCGGUGAUACAUGGUCCAUGUGUGGCCCCCAUGGGUUCUGAUUUGAGUAUUCAGCGCGGUCUGAUUACGUCAACAGAUGUGUAUCUUAGGACAGACAUGCAUCACGACUACAUGACAUCAUUAUUGCAUUUGCAUCGCAUUUGACUUAAUCUUGUCUGUGGUGUGUGGAUUUUACCUACUUGCUCCUCUUCAUGUGAUAUAUGAUCUAUUUUCUCUUAUAUGAGGAUAUGAGGUUGAUGUUGAGAUACUGUUGGAUAUAUCUGUCGAUUAUGAAUUGAGUAGUAUAGGUUGUUGGUUCGCUGUUAGAAUGAAGUUUCGGUGGUUCGGUUGGGAUUGUAAGGAGUUGUUUGUAGCUGCUAGUUUAGCUUAGUUUAGUGUUACUUGCGAGUACCUAUUGCUUUUGGUACUCACCCUUGCUUCUACACAAUUGUGUAGGUUGACAGCUCUAUCAGAUCCGGCUUAUUACUCAUCUUCAUAUUAGAGCUUCCAGACUUACUUGAGAGGUAGCGGUUCAUUCCAGACGUGCCCUCAAGUUAUCUAUAUUUACUGUUCUGUUCUAUUCUAGAACUUUACUAUGAGACUUGUAUAUUUUAUUCAGAUUCUGUAUUAGAGGUUUGUACAUGUGACAACCAAUUCUGGGGUUAUGUUGAGUUUAUUUAAAGACUUCCGCU
Molecule: long non-coding RNA, 1832 nt
Filed under: Solanum tuberosum (potato)
Lineage: Eukaryota; Viridiplantae; Streptophyta; Magnoliopsida; Solanales; Solanaceae
Description: long non-coding RNA (STUB_LNC001310)
Source: RNAcentral